GACGAACGCUGGCGGCGUGCUUAACACAUGCAAGUCGAACGGAAAGGCCCUGCUUUUGUGGGGUGCUCGAGUGGCGAACGGGUGAGUAACACGUGAGUAACCUGCCCUUGACUUUGGGAUAACUUCAGGAAACUGGGGCUAAUACCGGAUAGGGGCUCCUGCUGCAUGGUGGGGGUUGGAAAGUUUCGGCGGUUGGGGAUGGACUCGCGGCUUAUCAGCUUGUUGGUGGGGUAGUGGCUUACCAAGGCUUUGACGGGUAGCCGGCCUGAGAGGGUGGCCGGCCACAUUGGGACUGAGAGACGGCCCAGACUCCUACGGGAGGCAGCAGUGGGGAAUAUUGCACAAUGGGCGGAAGCCUGAUGCAGCAACGCCGCGUGCGGGAUGACGGCCUUCGGGUUGUAAACCGCUUUCGCCUGUGACGAAGCGUGAGUGACGGUAAUGGGUAAAGAAGCACCGGCUAACUACGUG
RNAcentral lists this ribosomal RNA (468 nucleotides) under uncultured bacterium. Its description in RNAcentral is "partial 16S ribosomal RNA". It matches the Rfam family "Bacterial small subunit ribosomal RNA", at positions 28 to 507 of the family's 1533-position model. The record is from RNAcentral.